UCGAUUUGACAGGAGCUUACACUGUAAAAUGUAAACAUGUUUUCAAUUCUUCUUCUUCUUCAAUUUUAUUUUAUGUCAGUUGCAUAGGAAAUUUCAGCAGGUGCAGUUGUGAUAGUGUGAACAUUCAACGAACGGUGGAAAACUCAUAUAAUUGUGAUUCUCCUGUGAUUAAAGAAGAUUAAUAUGAAACGCGGGUGGUGGAGCGCCAGAAGGGAGUUUGUGAGCAGGAAAGAAAUUCAGUGGAGGAAUAAUUCUUUAUUGGAUUCUCAUGGAUCGUCAGACGAAGAUGAUAAUGGAUUUCUUGUUAAAAAAACAAGACAAGGGGAUUUGCAAUUUCAUGAAGAGGAGAUAAUUUUAAAUGCACUUGGCUUACAGGACGUGGUGUUACCGUUACUUUUCAAAAAAACUGAGGAAAUCAUCGAUUCAUCAACCACGUUAACGGAUAUAGAAAUAGUAGGAGACCCACAUGAUUCCGUAACAUCA
Molecule: long non-coding RNA, 483 nt
Organism: Phlebotomus papatasi
Lineage: Eukaryota; Metazoa; Arthropoda; Insecta; Diptera; Psychodidae
Exons: 3
Source: RefSeq, a predicted model, not a curated record